GUCCAGGGUUCAAGUCCCUGUUCGG
RNAcentral lists this non-coding RNA (25 nucleotides) under Drosophila melanogaster (fruit fly). RNAcentral also lists the same sequence under 4 other names. The record is from RNAcentral. Lineage: Eukaryota; Metazoa; Arthropoda; Insecta; Diptera; Drosophilidae.